UGUAGCUCAGUGGUAGAGUGUUUGCCUAUCAUGCAUGAGACCAUGGAUUCAAUCCCCAUCA
RNAcentral lists this transfer RNA (61 nucleotides) under Heterocephalus glaber (naked mole-rat). It matches the Rfam family "tRNA", at positions 6 to 65 of the family's 71-position model. From Rfam's summary of the family: Transfer RNA (tRNA) molecules are approximately 80 nucleotides in length. Their secondary structure includes four short double-helical elements and three loops (D, anti-codon, and T loops). Lineage: Eukaryota; Metazoa; Chordata; Mammalia; Rodentia; Bathyergidae. The record is from Rfam by way of RNAcentral.